UAUGAGUUUUCUGAGAGCAUCUCAUAUUUAGAACUUUUUCUCCUAUUUUUCAUCUUUGGAAGAGUCCAAAUCAAGAAGAAAAAGGUAUUUGAUCGUCCAUCGAAGAAGGAUCUGCACAGUACUAGCAUGCUGUGCUGAUUUUCUAUACCAGGACUUCUGAUCGUGAUUUGUGAGCUCGUGUGGAUGAUUUCUAGAGGCCGAAUGUAUAUGCGGCUCACAACAUCAUCUUUAAGCCCGGAUCAGCAAAGUUAGAAUGUCUAACUUGUAAGGUAAUAGAUCUG
Molecule: long non-coding RNA, 281 nt
Filed under: Elaeis guineensis (African oil palm)
Lineage: Eukaryota; Viridiplantae; Streptophyta; Magnoliopsida; Arecales; Arecaceae
Description: long non-coding RNA (EGUI_LNC067333)
Source: RNAcentral